RNAcentral lists this ribosomal RNA (396 nucleotides) under uncultured eukaryote. RNAcentral's name for it is "SSU rRNA". It matches the Rfam family "Eukaryotic small subunit ribosomal RNA", at positions 594 to 945 of the family's 1831-position model. The record is from RNAcentral.
AUAGCGUAUAUUAAAGUUGUUGCAGUUAAAAAGCUCGUAGUUGGAUUUCGGCGUGCGCUCGGGCUGGUCGGCCGUCAUGGUCUGCACCGUUCGGGUCACGCCCCACUGUAGGAUACUCACCGCUGUCCUUAACUGGGUGGCGGUCAAAGGUGGUCGCGGGUGGGGGCAACUCUACACACGGUCACUGGGGUUCCUACUCUUUUACUUUGAGCAAAUUAGAGUGUUCAAAGCAGGCAAUCGAGCCUUGAAUACUUCAGCAUGGGAUAAUGGAACAGGACUGGGGUCCUGAUUUCGUUGGUUUCUGGGAUUUCAGUAAUGAUUAAUAGGGAUAGUUGGGGGCAUUAGUAUUUAAUUGUCAGAGGUGAAAUUCUUGGAUUUAUGAAAGACUAACUUCUG